RNAcentral lists this transfer RNA (97 nucleotides) under Photobacterium sp. CCB-ST2H9. RNAcentral's name for it is "tRNA-OTHER". It matches the Rfam family "tRNA". From Rfam's summary of the family: Transfer RNA (tRNA) molecules are approximately 80 nucleotides in length. Their secondary structure includes four short double-helical elements and three loops (D, anti-codon, and T loops). RNAcentral also lists the same sequence under 1 other name. Lineage: Bacteria; Pseudomonadati; Pseudomonadota; Gammaproteobacteria; Vibrionales; Vibrionaceae. The record is from RNAcentral.
GGAGGGGUGCCUGAGUGGUCUAAAGGGAGUAUCUUCUUCAACAGGAUAUUGAGUGUUACCAUGCGCUCCGUAGGUUCAAAUCCUGCUCCCUCCGCCA